CACGCUUGAUAACACGUCAAGACCGCAAGCAUGAAACGCCCUAGGAUAUAGCCUGAGCGUGACGUAGAGAUACAAUGACUCUCUCACCUAAAACUUAGGGAAAUUUCGGUUUUUACCUUCCACUAAGAGCUGACAGUAACCAAGUAAUGGGCUCCUUGAGUAGAAGACUGUCUUUGUUAGAGGAACAAACAGAUUUUGUGAUAUGCCCUUAACCAGGAGUCGAAGGAGAAAUUAGUCUCCAUGCAAGUCAAUAAAAUGUUUUACUUAA
This is a long non-coding RNA of Stylophora pistillata, 268 nucleotides long. NCBI's taxonomy places the organism in Eukaryota, Metazoa, Cnidaria, Anthozoa, Scleractinia, Pocilloporidae. The record is from RefSeq and is a predicted model, not a curated record.